This 730-nucleotide ribosomal RNA is filed under the name uncultured Ascomycota. Its description in RNAcentral is "SSU rRNA". It matches the Rfam family "Eukaryotic small subunit ribosomal RNA", at positions 407 to 1142 of the family's 1831-position model. Lineage: Eukaryota; Fungi; Ascomycota. The record is from RNAcentral.
CUACCACAUCCAAGGAAGGCAGCAGGCGCGCAAAUUACCCAAUCCCGACACGGGGAGGUAGUGACAAUAAAUACUGAUACAGGGCUCUUUUGGGUCUUGUAAUUGGAAUGAGUACAAUUUAAAUCCCUUAACGAGGAACAAUUGGAGGGCAAGUCUGGUGCCAGCAGCCGCGGUAAUUCCAGCUCCAAUAGCGUAUAUUAAAGUUGUUGCAGUUAAAAAGCUCGUAGUUGAACCUUGGGUCUGGUUGGCCGGUCCGCCUCACCGCGUGCACUGGUCCGACCGGAUCUUUCUUUCUAGGGAGCCGCAUGCCCUUUACUGGGUGUGUCGGGGAACUAGGACUUUUACUUUGAAAAAAUUAGAGUGUUCAAAGCAGGCCUAUGCUCGAAUACAUUAGCAUGGAAUAAUAAAAUAUGCCAAACGGUAUUAUUUUGUUGGUUUCUAAGACCGUUGGAAUGAUUAAUAGGGAUAGUCGGGGAUAUCAGUAUUUCGUUGUCAGAGGUGAAAUUCUUGGAUUUACGGAAGACUAACUACUGCGAAAGCAUUUAUCAAGGAUGUUUUCAUUAAUCAGUGAACGAAAGUUAGGGGAUCGAAGACGAUCAGAUACCGUCGUAGUCUUAACCAUAAACUAUGCCGACUAGGGAUCGGGCGAUGUUAUCUUUUUGACUCGCUCGGCACCUUACGAGAAAUCAAAGCUUUGGGUUCUGGGGGGAGUAUGGUCGCAAGGCUGAAA